GACAGAGGGUGCAAACGUUGUUCGGAAUUACUGGGCGUAAAGCGCGUGUAGGCGGCUUUGCAAGUGGCGGGUGAAAUCCCUCGGCUUAACCGAGGAACUGCCUGCCAGACUGUGAGGCUUGAGACCGGGAGAGGUGAGUGGAAUUCCCAGUGUAGCGGUGAAAUGCGUAGAUAUUGGGAGGAACACCAGUGGCGAAGGCGGCUCACUGGACCGGAACUGACGCUGAGGCGCGAAAGCGUGGGGAGCAAACAGG
RNAcentral lists this ribosomal RNA (253 nucleotides) under uncultured bacterium. RNAcentral's name for it is "partial 16S ribosomal RNA". It matches the Rfam family "Bacterial small subunit ribosomal RNA", at positions 524 to 776 of the family's 1533-position model. The record is from RNAcentral.